This is a long non-coding RNA of Aphis gossypii (cotton aphid), 1582 nucleotides long. RefSeq lists it as uncharacterized. The transcript has 3 exons. The record is from RefSeq and is a predicted model, not a curated record. Lineage: Eukaryota; Metazoa; Arthropoda; Insecta; Hemiptera; Aphididae.
UGUUGCAAUAGGUCAUUACGGCAAGAUAUAGCUGUUUCGGUUGACUAGUGAAAUCGAGCUAUAAUUUUCGGACUGUAAUGAUUUUUUAUCGAGUUCGGUUUAUGAUUUCUGUCCAUAUAUAUAUAUAUAGAAAUAGACAGGAAAUGAGUGAAUAAAAUAAAAAAAUAGUAGAAAGAGACGACAAAGGAACACGUAGUUAUAUAUAUAUAUAUAUAUAUAUGUUAUAGUAAGUAUUAUAUAUGUGUUUGAUGUAUAAAACAUGGCGGAAAAACGAGAAGGGGUAUUAUAUUGUCAUGCGUGAUAGCUUUAUAUAUUUGUGUUUUAUUAGGUCGAGAAAAUGGUGUUUCUUUUUAUUGGGCGGAGUGGUCUCGCAUGCACACACACAAAAUCCGAUUCAAUUUCCUGUAAACGAUAAAUUGAAAAAAAGAAAACGCUCGCUCGCGCACAUACACGCACCCACACGCAGAUAUAUAUACACAUAUAAACGCAGUGGGAGGUUUAUAGCCGAAAAGUUUCGCACCGGCCUUUUUUUCACCGCAUAUAUACAUAUAUAGAACUCAUAUGUCACACGCAUGUACUAUAUGGUAGGACAAAACGUUAGCAUAAAAUGGCCCCAGAAGAAACAGUGCGAACAGAGAUAUCGGGUAAAUAACCAUCAUGCGCAGAGUAUAAAACGUUUUACAUAUAUUCUAUAGGUACUCGCAUAUGGACUAUACCAUAUCAUAUAUACGAUAAUGCCGCGCGUAGUCUAGAAUGUUUUUGAAAUUUGAUCACGCGCGUUUACAAUAUAAUAAUGUUGAGCUGUUGGAGUAAAUCAAGUCUCGUGAAAUAAUAAUAAACUUAAUUUUUAUAUUUUAAAAAGAAAAAAAACAAUAUGGGCAAAUAGCCUAUAUAAAUUGUAAGGUUUAUAGUACUGCUAUUGCUGAUCGUAAAAUUAAAAUGGUACAAAAAACAAUAAAGCCUCGGAAUCGUUUGAUUAAAACUUAUAUAAUACAUAUUUAUUGACCCGCCGAGGUCGAGAAAAUACUUAUUUACAAAACUAUAAUCGUAUACAUCUAUACGAUAUGUGUACAGUUUAUUCUAAUUUCGUAAAAUUAAUAACACAUCUAUAUGUAGCCAUAUGGCUACAAUGCUACAUAUUAUAGGGCUAUGUGACCUAUAUAGGUAUUUAUAUUAAUAUUAAAAUUUAACAAAAAAAAAACCAUAACAAUUCGUUCGAUUAUGUAAUAGAAUUAAAUUAUUCUAAUGUUUAGCAUACCUACUUUUAAGGUUUGAAUUAAAAGAUAAAGAAGAGGCAUACAAAUCACGAAGAAAUUUAUUUCAUACUAUAUUAUAGAUCCUAUAUAUAUAACGAACGUUUUAACAUUAUAGACAAGUAAUAAAUGGAUAAAAUUAUUUAAUUAUGUAAAGAUAUGAUUGAACAGGAAACAGAGGAGAUUAUCAUAUAAAUGGCUUUAUCCAGUUUAUCCCUUACAUAUAUAGUAGAAUUUAUAGUUUAUAUGUGUAUAGAAAUUAUAAAGAUACUAUUGAUUGAUAUAAUAUAGUAAUUGGCUAAUCUAUAAAAAUAAUAUAAAAUUUAUAG